RNAcentral lists this long non-coding RNA (998 nucleotides) under Lepisosteus oculatus (spotted gar). RNAcentral describes it as "lncRNA (ENSLOCG00000022726.1)". Lineage: Eukaryota; Metazoa; Chordata; Actinopteri; Semionotiformes; Lepisosteidae. The record is from RNAcentral.
GACCAAGAGAACAGCCUUGAGAGGCAGACUGGGCGAGCUCCAGCCAGAAGCUGUGGACAGACGCGCCGAGACCGAACCCUGGGAAACCUCCCGUCCCGGCGCAGAGAAACCCUCAGGCCUGGAGGCAGCUGAGACACUCUGUUCCACCCUUUUUUUUUUUUAAAACUGUGGCAGUGCUGACACUCUGUGGAUAGGAAGGGGUUAAGGCACAAAGACACGGUUCCGGGGAGCUGUUGACAUGAUUAUGCACAGUAAACAGUGAAAGAAUCUCUGGCACACACAAAACAAAGGCGUAAUUACAGAGGUGGAGGAGUGAUUUCGUUAUGACAAGCUGCUGUGCAGAAGAUGUCCGCACUGUCUGCGACUAAUAUCGCUGAUGUUGGUCACGGCGAUGGCAGAGUGUUCCCCCCGUCGCCAGAGCUGCUCCUGGACUGCAGCAGCGCGGAGGAGACGAGCAGCAGCCUGGUGACCGAGGGCGGCCAUGACCCCCAGCAGAUCGGGCUGCCCCCCCCUCGCCCCGGGCCGCCCGCUCGGGGCCACAAGAGCGAGCCGGGCACCCCGGACCUGAGCUGCCAGCUGCCCAUGGACGCGGCUGCCGACGCACUGGCGGCGAGCCCAGGUAGGUGGCCUGCAGCCUGCGAGCCAUGGGCUGCUGCAGGGGUUGGCCUUUGGGCUGGGCUGCAGGAGGGCCAGCGCCUGUCCUCCGCGUCAUCAGUCCGAGCCCCGCGCUCUCCCCUGUGUCGCAGCGCGUAGAGCUGAGCGCACCAGGCCCGACCCGAGGGCACGGGGCUUCCAAAACGUGUAAAACAAGAAUUCAGCUUGAAAAGGUUAGGGUUAAGAAAAAUCUGUAAGUUGGGAAAGUUAUGGAUUACUUCUUACCAGAGGUCAUGUUUUCCUUCACAGCGCUCAUUAGAUGAAUGUAAUUUCUUGCUUAUUUCUCCCUCCUGCAAGUCACUUGUGACUGUAAGUUUGCUUUUUUAAAAAGACUUUGGUGGGGG